This 90-nucleotide transfer RNA is filed under the name Alphaproteobacteria bacterium. Its description in RNAcentral is "tRNA-Ser". It matches the Rfam family "tRNA". Rfam says of the family: Transfer RNA (tRNA) molecules are approximately 80 nucleotides in length. Their secondary structure includes four short double-helical elements and three loops (D, anti-codon, and T loops). Lineage: Bacteria; Pseudomonadati; Pseudomonadota; Alphaproteobacteria. The record is from RNAcentral. RNAcentral also lists the same sequence under 1 other name.
GGAGGAGUGGCAGAGUGGUUGAAUGCACUGGUCUUGAAAACCAGCAGGCGUGCAAGCGUCUCGGGAGUUCGAAUCUCCCCUCCUCCGCCA